Molecule: ribosomal RNA, 429 nt
Filed under: Chloroflexota bacterium
Lineage: Bacteria; Bacillati; Chloroflexota
Description: Chloroflexi bacterium partial 16S ribosomal RNA
Rfam family: Bacterial small subunit ribosomal RNA
Source: RNAcentral
UGGGGAAUAUUGCACAAUGGGCGCAAGCCUGAUGCAUCCAUGCCGCGUGUGUGAAGAAGGCCUUCGGGUUGUAAAGCACUUUCAGCGGGGAGGAAGGCGGUGAGGUUAAUAACCUCAUCGAUUGACGUUACCCGCAGAAGAAGCACCGGCUAACUCCGUGCCAGCAGCCGCGGUAAUACGGAGGGUGCAAGCGUUAAUCGGAAUUACUGGGCGUAAAGCGCACGCAGGCGGUCUGUCAAGUCGGAUGUGAAAUCCCCGGGCUCAACCUGGGAACUGCAUGCGAAACUGGCAGGCUAGAGUCUUGUAGAGGGGGGUAGAAGUCAAGGUGUAGCGGUGAAAGGCGUAGAGAUCUGGAGGAAUACCGGUGGCGAAGGCGGCCCCCUGGACGAAGGCUGACGGUCAGGUGCGAAAGCGUGGGGAGCAAACAGG